UCGGUAGAGGGGUUUUGAUUAUCUCUCUGCGUGAGCUAACGCGUUAAGUGCCCCGCCUGGGGAGUACGGCCGCAAGGCUAAAACUCAAAAGAAUUGACGGGGGCUCGCACAAGCGGUGGAGCAUGUGGCUUAAUUCGAUGCAACACGAAGAACCUUACCGGGGCUUGACAUGGUAGAAGUAGGAGCCCGAAAGGGUAACGAACGGUAUCCAGUCCGUAGCUAUCACAGGUGUUGCAUGGCUGUCGUCAGCUCGUGUCGUGAGACGUUGGGUUAAGUCCCCUAACGAGCGAAACCCUUGUCUUUAGUUGCCAACAGGUCAAGCUGGGCACUCUAAAGAGACUGCUGUCGUCAAGACGGAGGAAGGUGGGGAUGACGUCAAGUCAUCAUGGCCCUUAUGUCCCGGGCUGCACACGUGCUACAAUGGUCGGUACAAAGGGAUGCCAAGUCGCAAGACGGAGCGAAACCCAAAUAAAGCCGAUCCCAGUUCAGAUUGGAGGCUGAAACCCGCCUCCAUGAAGUAGGAAUCGCUAGUAAUCGCGGAUCAGCUAUGCCGCGGUGAAUAUGUUCCCGAGCCUUGUACACACCGCCCGUCAAGCCACCCAAGCAAGAUGCACCCGAAGCCACUGGCCUAACCCGCAAGGGACGGAAGUGUCUAAGGUGUGUUUUGUGAGGAGGACUAAGUCGUAACAAGGUAGCCGUA
Molecule: ribosomal RNA, 700 nt
Filed under: uncultured bacterium
Lineage: Bacteria
Description: bacterial SSU rRNA
Rfam family: Bacterial small subunit ribosomal RNA
Source: RNAcentral